GAUGAACGCUAGCUACAGGCUUAACACAUGCAAGUCGAGGGGUAACGAGAGGAAAGCUUGCUUUCCUUGUCGACGACCGGCGCACGGGUGAGUAACGCGUAUCCAACCUGCCCCCAACUAGGGAAUAACCUUGCGAAAGUAAGACUAAUACCCUAUAAUUUCCUCAGAUGACAUCUGACGAGGAAUAAAGAUUUAUCGGUUGUGGAUGGGGAUGCGUCUGAUUAGCUUGUUGGCGGGGUAACGGCCCACCAAGGCAACGAUCAGUAGGGGUUCUGAGAGGAAGGUACCCAACAUUGGAACUGAGACACGGUCCAAACUCCUACGGGAGGCAGCAGUGAGGAAUAUUGGUCAAUUGGCGGAAGCCUGAACCAGCCAAGUAGCGUGCAGGAUGACGGCCCUAUGGGUUGUAAACUGCUUUUAUACAGGAAUAAAGUUAGCCACGUGUGGUUAUUUGUAGGUACUGUACGAAUAAGGACCGGCUAAUUCCGUGCCAGCAGCCGCAGUAA
Molecule: ribosomal RNA, 506 nt
Filed under: uncultured bacterium
Lineage: Bacteria
Description: partial 16S ribosomal RNA
Rfam family: Bacterial small subunit ribosomal RNA
Source: RNAcentral